Non-coding RNA from Oryctolagus cuniculus (rabbit), 9994 nucleotides. The record is from RefSeq and is a predicted model, not a curated record. NCBI's taxonomy places the organism in Eukaryota, Metazoa, Chordata, Mammalia, Lagomorpha, Leporidae.
GAGAAGGUAGGGUUGCAGGUGGGAGGGACGUUAUGGGGGGGAAGGCAUUGUAAUCCAUAAGCCGUACUUUGGAAAUUUAUAUUCAUUAAAUAAAAGUUAAAAAAUAUGAUUUUCUAUGCAUUAAUAUAACCACAUUUACCUUAUCUCAGUCUAUUUGUUUAACAUUUUUAUUUAUUUAUGGGCAUGCAGGGAUGGAGAUGAGAGUAAGUUCCAGAGUGAGAGCAAGAGAAUGAGGAAGAAUGUGUGUGUGAGGGAGAGAGAGGGAGGGAGAGAGACAUCUCCCAUCAGCAGGCUUCUCUCUCAAAUACCAAAAAUGCUCAUGGUAGGGCUAAUUCCAAAGUGGUAACUCGACUAAAAUCCAGAUCUCCCACAUUGGUGGCAAGGACCCAUCAAUUUGAGUCAUCACCUGUUGCUGCCCAAGGGUGUACACCAGCUGGAAACCAGAAUCAGAACUCAAAAUGCUGGAUGAUGACAAUACCCAGAGCUGGUCCAGGCCAGAAGAUGGCAAAUCAAUCCAAGCCACCUCUGUGGGUGACAGAGAAUCAACUAUUUGAGCCAUCACCUGCUGCCUCCCAGAGUUUGCACCAGCAGGAAACUGCAAUCAGGAGUGGAGUUGGGACUCCAAUCCAGGCCCUCCAAUAAGGGAUGCAGCUGUAUCAAGUGGCAUCUUAAUUGCUAUGACAAAGGCCUGCCCUUUAUUAACAGUGUGUAGCAUCACAAAUAAAGGUCCUUAGAUGUAAAAUUAUUCUGUGCCACAUAGUCUACAAACUUCCACAAUUUCUUUUUCCCAUCACUAUUCAUCUACAAGGGAUACUGAAAUAUGACCUACAAGUGAUGUCAAAAAUAACAUACUAAUCGUUAUACAUGGAAGAUAGGAUGAGGCAAAUUGAUGUUUGGCAUUGUCAACUACUUUAAGGAUGGAUAUACUCAAGAUGUUAUCAUCUCUCUUACAUUGGCAAAAGCACUUUUUGUUGCAGUUAAUUUUGAAUCCUCAAUCACUUUAAAAGUUAGUCAAUCUCUAGAAUUAAUGUCCAUGACCACUUGUAAUAAGAGCUAUAUUCAUCCAGGUAUCAGUUUUAUUUGUGUGAAGACCUAUAUCUGUACCCGAAUAUAUUUUGAUCAUUAAAUAUUAAACUAUUAUCUAUAAAAAUAAAAUAUUACUCUGUAAAGAAAAUAUAUUCUAUAAAAGUUGAACAUUUGGGAACAACUAUGAAUUUGAGUGUCAAAACUGUCAAACUAGGCAUGUAUUAUUCAAAUAAAAUAUUUUGAAAAAGUAUAAAAUGUAUAUAUGCAAAUUACUCAUUAAUCACUUUCAAGUAUUUUCUAUUUAAAUAUUUCAGAAUGAAACCAUAUUAUAUCUGAUUUGAAAUUUUGUUGAGUCAACCAAAUUCUAGUUUAUUUUACUGCAUGGUACUAUAACUUGCUUUCAGAUAAGAGACUACACAAAUGCAAGCUUAAAUAUGCCAGUUAUAUAUAAACAGUAAACCUGUAUAGAGAGUUCAUGUCUAAAAUUAUUUUUUAAAGUAUAUAAGUGUAUAAUGUAGAAAACUACAUGUAAAUCAAUGAUGAUUAUGCUACAGCCAAUAAUUAUGAUUAGUUUAAUUAUUUUAAUUGAAAGCAUAAAAUAUAAAAUGAACAAAAAACAUAGGUCAUACUUAACCACAUGCAAAAUAGAGUUAAUCUACAUUUAGUGAAUCCUUACUUACAGAUGAACACCAAAGGACAAAACUCCUGAAUUUGCACCCAUUCAACUUUUUCCACUUGACAUGUACAGAGUGCAGCAGAAAAGUGACAUUCAGGUAUUUUCUGAACAAGAGAAACAUUAUUAAAAUCAUGUUUUUCAUAAAAAAUUGCAUACUAGUGGCCACCUUUUGCACUGAUAGACCACAAGUAAUCUUAUUAUGGUAGCGCAGCUAAUUGCCCCUUGCAUCAACUUGCAGCAACCAAAGACAGAGUAAUGUCCAUUGGAUAAAGAGCAAAGACCAGAUAAAGAGCAGUUACACACUUUUCUCCAUUAGGAUCUAGAAAUUAGUUUUCAACACACAAAAAUAAAUAUCUCUUUCAAGAACCUAAUUUACCUUUUACACAUAGUAAGGAAUGAUUUCUUUCUCAGUUGCCCACCAUUUAUCACCAUAGUGUAAAGUUUUUCUCAUCCCCGUUUCUGGCUCUUCCCUUGCAUUCCCCAUUUUGUAUUGAUACAUUUUAUUCUUCUUAAAGAUUACCUUAAAACUUUUUCAAUUUCAAAAUUCCCAAGUCUGGCUCUCUCCUUUAUAAUUGAUUAGAUGUUGAGUGGUUUGGUGGCUAAUUUUUCAACUGCCUUAUUUCAUAUGUGCCUUCCAUUUUAUUCCUAACUAUUGGUAAUUUUCAUUAUGCUUAAUUGCUCCUAUGAAAAAUAACACACACACGCACACACACACAACAUUGAAGGUAAGGUUAAAUGGCUAAAAUAAGUUGCCUUCUCAACAUUGCAAUUUUUUUGUUCAUAUAGGUUUAUAUAAAAUAGUCAUCUUAUUGUUUUAAAAUGGAAAUUUAUGUAUUUGGGUACAUAAAUCUUGAAAAGUGGAAGAAUAAUUCUUAAUGGAUAAAAAAAAAUUCAGGCCAAAGGUAUACGCAAACCCAUCCUCAAUUAACAUGGCAGUUUGAUAAUCCUUAGCAGCUGCCACUUGGGAACAAUUAUGACUGUUCACAUCAAAAUUCAAAUAUAAUAUUAUAUGUGAACCAGAGUUGAAUGAUUGUCAAAUACCCAUCCAAUUUUCUCAACUGAAUAUACAGAGCAAUCCGCCUCUUACCCAGUGAAUUUUAAUUUUACAUUGUAUUUAUAAACUUUUAUUCAUAGUAAGGCUGUUCAUUUUAAAUAAUGAUUUAAUUAAUUGAUGAGAUCCCAUGAGACUGACAGAGUUCUCACAUCCCUUGGGUCUCUUCCCAGAUUUCUAUAACAGCUUCAGGCUAGGGCCAACUGAAACCCUGAAUCAAGGUGGCAUGAACCAAACCAUAUGAAUCUCCAAGACUUUCUCACAGGGUUGCAUGACAAGGAAGCUGGAUUGACAGGCUUAAUCCAGUAUGCAACUCAGAUACUCUGAUAUGGGUUAUGGGCAUCUUAACUGCUAAGACAAAAUCUGCCCUGAAAUAGACCAAUCAUUCUGUUUUUCUCCUUCUAUAUUUUUACCUUAUUGUGUAGAGGGAAUGAGCACCCUUUAACUAUAUGUGUGUUAUUUUUGUCAGUAUUAGUUUUAAUAAAGUCUGUACUUUAUCAAUGGUAUAAAUAACUACAAAUUGAAAUAUUUGAAUUAACUUGAUUGAUUGGCUGUAUUUAUUGUCAUUACUUAUAAAAACAAAUAUCAAAAUAGGCAAUGUAGGGAAUAUUAAACAAAAAUUCUAAUAUACAAGAAACCAUGAUAUAUCAUAUAUCAGAUAUUAAAAUUUACCAUAAAUAAUUUAAGUAUACUGUAAUGUGAUGGUAUCAGGUUACAGAUUUACAUCCUUGAUUUAUUGUGAAUUAAUUUUUGUAUAAGAUGUAAAAGAAGAGUCUUGAUUUUAAGGGAUUCUUAAACAACAAAAACAAAGCUGGAGGCAUCACCAUAUCAGACAUCAAGACACACCACAUGGCUGUUAUAAUCAAAACAGCCUACUACUAGCACAGCACAAAAAUAUACAUGAAGACCAAUUAAACAGAAUAGAAAUCCCAAAAAUUAGUACAUGCAUCUACAAUGAAUUUUUGAUGAAUGAGCUAAAAUCACUGUCUGUAGAAAGGACAUCCUUCUCAACAAAAAGGGAUGGGAAAAUUGGAUAUUUUCACACCGAUAAUGAAACAAGGCCUUUCUUUGCUAUUUGGGAUCAUUCAUGUUUCCAUAUCAAUUUUAACAUUGCUUUUAUCUAGAUCUGAGGAGGAUGGUAUUUUGAUUGGAAUAACUUUGAUUGCUUUUCAUAGUAUGGACAUUGUGAUUACAUUGAUUCUUCCAAACCAUGAAAAUGUACCACUUUUUGUGUGUUUUACUCAAUUUAUUUACUUAAUGUUUUGUAAAUUUUAUUUUAAAUAUCAUUCACAUCCUUCAUAAACUUAUUUUAAGGCAUGGAAGAGUUUUGGUUAGUGUUAUUUCUAAGCCACGGCAUUGUUUGUAUAUACAAAUACUAUUUGUGUUGAUUUUUAUAAGUUACAACUUUGACAAACUCUCUUGUGAGUUCCAAGACUUUCUUAAUGAAGUCUUUGGUUCCAAUAAAUAUAAGAUGAUGUCAUCCACAACAGAUAAUUUGAGUUUCUUCUUUCCAAUUUGUACCAUUUUACAUUUCUUUCUCUUGCUGAAUGACUCUUGCUAAAUCUUUGAGAACUUUACUGAAUAGCAAUGAUGAAAGUGUGCUUAUUUCUACUUCAACAUCUUAGUGGAUAUGCUUCCCAAUUUUCCUUAUUCAAUAUGAUGCUGCCUGUAAGUUUUUCACAUAUUGACUUGAUUAUGUUUUGUAUAGUCUUUCUAUACUGAUUUUGCUUAAUGUUUUUAUCAUGACAGGAUGUUUUCUCUGCACUUAUUGAGAUAAUCUUUUGGAUUUCACUCAUCAAUUUGUUAAUGUUAUGUAUAACAUUUAAUAGUUGCAUAUGGUGCACCAUCUCUGCAUUCCUGAGAUAAAUCCCACCAGGUCUUGGUGUAAUCUUUUUGGUGUGUUGUUGGAUUUCUUUAGCUAGUACCUUGUUUAGGAUCUUUGCAUCAGUGUUCUUCAGGAAUAUCAGUUUGUAGUUCUCUUUGUUGUAUCUUUUUUAGGGAUUUAGUAUAAAGGUGACACUGGCUUCGUAAAAGGGGUUAAACAUAAAUCACGCUCUUUCAACUAUUUUGAAUAGUUCUAAAAGCAUUGAAAUUGUUUAAUGAAAAGUUAAUUAGAAUUCAGCUACGAAGCCAUUAAAUCUUUCACUUUUUUCUUGGGAAUGUCUUUAUUAGUGGUUCAAUCUCCAUCUUGGUUAUUGGUCUAUUUAGAAUUUCAGUGUCAUCAUACUCAAUUUUGGUAUAGCUUAUGUGUCCACAAAUCUAUCCAUUUCUUAUAUAUUAUCCAAUUUGCUGGGAUAAAAUUAAAUAAAAUAAUUUCUAACAAUUCUUUUCACUUCACUGGCAUCAGUUGUAACAUCUGCAUUUCCAUCUCUGAUUUUAUUAAUUUGGGUCUUCUCUUUUUUGGUGAUUUAAGCUAACUGUUAAUUAACUUUAUUGUUGUUUAAAAAAGUCAGCUCUUCAUUUCACUGAUCUUUUUGUAUCUUUUUUGACUUCAAUGUUAUAUAUUUCUUCUCUAAUUUUUAUUAUUUCUUAAAUUGGGUUUGGUUUAUUCUUGUUCAUCUAGGUCUUGGAGAUGUAUUGCAAAUUUCAUGAUAUAGGCACUAAUUGCUAUUUAAUCUUUCUUCAUAACAUGGUUUUUGCCAUAUCCCAUAAAUGUUGAUGUGAUGUGCUGACAUCUCUUGUUUAGUUCAUGGAAGUUUUUUUUUUUUUUUUAUUUCCUUUUGAGUUCUAUGAUACACUGUUCAGUUAGGACCAUGUUGUUCAGACUCCAGGUUUUUGUAUAUUUUCUAGAAUUUUUGUGUUAUAAAUUGUUGCAUUUGAUUUAUCAACAAUGUUGCAGUGGAUUCGUUUCUGAGAGGAACAUGGUGGGGGCAAGAGGUGUGGAGUCACCACACAGACUCCAGGCGUCAGGUGAAAGCAGUCCUGAGGCGAGCAGCCUGCAGAUUCGUUUAUUUGAGUUAGUACAACAGCUUAUGUAGCCCAGACCAGUCAAUCCAGUCAAGGGGCGGUCUAGGCCCCAACCAAUCACAGCCUGUUGCCAGGCAGUUUCCAAAGCCAUCCAAUCACAGCCUGUUGCCAGUCAGGCUCUUGUCACCAGGCAGUUUCUGAAACCAUCCAAUCACAGCCUGCCGUCGGUCAGGCUCUGUUGUUAAGUGGUUUCCUCUGUUGCCAUGUGGUUUCCAAGGCCAUCCAAUCACGGCCUGUUGCCAGGCAGUUUCUGUUGUCAGCAGCCAUCUUGGCAUGACUUUUCACCUCGGUGGCCAGCUUGGCAUGAACUUUUCACCUCAUUCCAUCACAAUUAAUUACCAGCUUAUUUCAACUGUGGUCAGAAAAUAUAUAUAGUAUAAUUUUUUAAUCUGUUGAAAAUUUUUCCCAAACAUGUGAUCUAUUCCAGAUAAUGUCCCAUGCCCUGAUUGUGUAUUCUUCUUCUGAGAAAUGGAUUCUUCUGUAGAUAUGAAUUAGAUUCAUUUGGAUCAAUGUGUAGAUUAACCUCAUUGCUUUCUUGGUUGUAUUGUCUGGUGAUGUGUCUAUUGACGAAAGUGGGGUAUUGAAAUCACUAAUUAUGAUUGCUUUGGAAUAUAUGUCUCCCUUUAGAUCCAUUAAUUUUUAUUUUAACUAACUGGGGGGGUUUAAUAUUUUGUUCAUUUACAUUUACUAUAGUCAAAUCUUCCAGUUGAAUUGAUCCCUUAAUCAUUACAUAAUAAUCUUCUUUGUCUAUUUUAACAGAUUUGUCUUAAAGUAUAUUUUGCCUAAUAUUCAGAUAGGUAUGGGGCCAGCACUGUGGCACUGAGAGUUAAAGCCCUGGCCUGCAGGGCUGGUAUCUCAUUUAGGUACCAUUUGGAGCCCUGGCUCCUCCAUUUCUGAUUCAGCUCCCUGAUACUGUGUCUGGGAAAGAAGCAGAAUAUGACCCAAGUCCUUGGGGCCCUACACCCAUAUGGGAGAUCUGGAAGAAGCUCUUGGAUCCUGGCUUUUCCUGGCCCAACUCUGGUCAUUGUAGCCAUUUGGGAAGUAAACCAUUGGAUGGAAGACCCCUCUAUCUCUCUCUCUACCUCUCUCUGUAACUCCACCUUUCAAAUUAAUAAAAUAACUCUUAAAAACAUAGGUAUGCCUCAUUUUUGAUUCCCAUUUGCAUGUACUAGCUUUUUCAAUCCUUUCACUUUUGAUCUGUUUUUUUCUUUGUGAGAUGUUUUUCUUGUAGAGUGCAUAGAGAUUGGACUUCAUUUUAAUCCAUUCAGCCACUCUGUAACAUUAAAUUGGAGUGUUUAGUCUACUUACAUGCUUUGUCAUUGUUACUAAGUAAUGUCUUAGUCCUGACAUUUUUCCAUAUAUAUUCCUAUUGCUUCUUUUGGAUAACCUUUGGACUAUUAAAUUUAUGCCUUCCCAUUCUUUUAGGAUGCUGAUCAUCUUUCUUUGUUUUUCUGUGUAGUUAAUACUUAAGUAUCACUUGAGAGGCUGGACAAAUGGUGGCAAAUUUCUAGUUUUUUAAGAAGAUGCUUAUUUUAUCUUCUUUUAUAAAUAAGAACUCAAUGCAGUGUUUUGGGCUUUUGAGGUUUUAAUUUGGGUAAGAUGUAGACUAUAUCUCUCCAUCUCUCCUAACCUGUUGGUUUUCUGAUGAGAGUCUUAUUGUCAAUCUAAUUGGAGAUCUGUUACAAGAUAGCUGAUACUUCCCUUGUACAUUUUAGGAUGUUUUCUUUGUUUUACCUUUGAAAAUUUGAAUAUAAUGUGUCAUGGUAAAGAUCUCUGAAUGUGACUCUUUGCAGUUCCAUGUGUUCUUGUACUUGGAUAUCCAUAUAUUUAACAAAAUUAGGAAAAUUUCCUGUUAUUGUAUCACCAAAUAAGUUCUCGAAGUCAUUCUGCUAUUCCACUCCUACAGAAAUGCAUAGGACCAGUAUAUUUUGUCUUUAAUGGUACCCUGUAGAUCCUGAGGCAUUUUUUUUUGCAUUUUUAUAAGUUUUAAAAUGUCCUUUCUUUUUAUCAAUUUCAAAACCUUUUUCUUCCAGCUCAGACAUUGUUUAUUCUACCUUACUGAGUCUGUUUUUCAAGUUUUCCACUGUUUCUUUUUACUUAUUAAAUUUUUUAUUCAUAAUAUUUCAGUUUGAUUUUUCUUUAAUUUUUUUCUUAGCCUAAUUUCUUACCCAUAUCAUUCACAGGUUUCUUUAACUCUUGUGAUUCCUUCUGUGUGUUUCUGAGGAGCCUUACAUUUUUAAACUUCCUCUUCAGGCAUUUCAUCAAUCUCAUCUGUACAGUCUAAUGCUGAAAUAUCAUUGUGUUCCUUUUGCAGUCAUAUUGUCUCCCUCAUUCAUGUUCCUUGUAUUUUUAUGCUUAAUUUCAUGUGUAUGUAGAAAACACUUGUUGAUAUCUCCUCUAAAGUCUCUGUACUUAGGAAUCUGCCCUAGGUAUGGUGGGAUGCCUGUAUCUUCCAACAAAUCCAGAGGUGUGUACUAGCUGGGGUCAAGAGUUCUGGAAAACUUUUACAGGUGGGCCCAAAGCCUAGGGUAAAGACUAUGAGCAAAGACUUCUAUGUGAAUCAGGCUCACAUCCUCAUGCUGGUGCAACAAUCUCUUGCCACAGUCACCUGUGGGAUUGUUUCUCUCCAGUGUCUCAGACACCUCCAUCAAAAUAAUGGAGAAUCAGAGAAGUCAGGACAAUAUCUGUGGCUGGCACUGUGGCCUAGUAGUCAUAGUCUGCAGUUCUGUAAUUCCAUAAAAGCAUCAGUUUGAGUAGUUUUUGCUCCACUUCCAAUUCAGCUCCCUGUUAAUUUUCCAUGGGAAAGAAGCACAAGAUGACCCCAAAUCUUGGGCCCCUGAAUCCAAGUAGGAGACCCACAGGAAGCUCCUAGCCACAGCUGUGAGCUGCUAUAGGAAAUCCAAUGUCUCAUUUUUCUAGUUAUUGGAAUUUGUGAGCUUUACUUAACUCAUCAGCUGACCUGAAAUCCUGAAGAUUCUAGCUAUCUCAGUUCCACAGUGUGUCUCUGUAGUCAGGCCUUAAUUGUUUACUAAGCAACCUUUGUGCUAAUAUAGACUUAAGGACUUUAUUGGUGUCCACUUGUCACUGACCAUGCCUGUGCCUAGACAUGCUCAAUAGAGGUGCUUGUUCACCUCUCUGUAUCAAAUUUUUCAGAAACUUUACCUUUUCCACACUUGCCAAGGUAAAAUGAUGUGAUUCAUUUUAUACCCAAUUUCCUUAGGGUUUUCAUCAAUGAAGGAUGUGUAUUUUAUCAAAAGCUUUCUCUGAAUCUAUUGAGAUAAUCAUAUGGUCUUUGUAGUUCAAUUUGGUAAUGUGAUGAAUCACAUUUAUUGACUUAGGAAUGUUGAACCAUCCCUGAAUACCAGGGAUGAGUGAUCUUUCUAAUGUGUUGUUGGAUUUGAUCCACUAACAUUGUGUUGAGGAUAUUUGUGUCUAUGUUCAUCAGGGAAAUUGGCCUAUAAUUCCCUUUCUCUAUAAAUAAAAAGCUUUUAUUUGUUUACUUGAAAGUUGGUGUUACAGAAAGAAAGAAAAAGAGUGAGGUCUUGCAUUCCCUGAUUCACUCCCCACAUUGGCUGUAAUGGCCACAGCUGCACUGAUCCAAAGCCAGGGGACAGGCAUGGUUCUCCCAUGCAGUUGCAGAGGCCCAAGGACUUGGGCCAUCUUCUACUCCCUUCCCAGGCCACAGAAGAGAGCUAGGUGAGAAGUGGAGCAGACUGGACUCAAACCAGUGCCCAAGUGGGAAGCCGGCACUGCAGAUGGCAGUUUACCCAAUACACCAUGGUACCAGCCCCUAUAAUUAUCUUUCUCUAUUGCAACUUUUUUUCUUGUUUAGGAACUAAGGUGAAAUUGGCUUCAAGGAAGAAGUUAGGGAGGAAUCCCUCUAUUUCAGUUAUUUUGAAUAGCUUGAGAAGAAUUUGAAUUAGUUCUUCAAUUGUUAGAUACAAUUCAGAAGUGAGGCUGUCCUUUCUGGACUUUCUUAUUGGGCUGGCUUUUAUUUUUGAUUCACUCUCCAUUUAGCUUAUUGAUCUGUUUAGGGGGUAAGAAGAUUACUGGUUCUAAAUUUGAAAUGAAUGAUUUUUUAUACUUUAAAUAAAAGGUUUCUAGGUAAAAAAUAGGAUAAACUCAUUUAACAGAUGUGAAAAAAUAAACUGAGUGAUUAUGUGGAAACUUUUCUCACAAAGAUGACACCAUUAUAGGAAAUAUAAUUUUAACCUGGACAUUCUUUGAAUUUUUUAAGAAGUUUGCAUUUUGUAUGGUAGCAAAAUUAUCUUUAU